Molecule: RNA transcript, 2526 nt
Organism: Camelus dromedarius (Arabian camel)
Lineage: Eukaryota; Metazoa; Chordata; Mammalia; Artiodactyla; Camelidae
Gene name: saccharopine dehydrogenase-like oxidoreductase
Exons: 9
Source: RefSeq, a predicted model, not a curated record
CGCUGCCUGAGGCGCAGGCGCGUGGACGCAGCCCGCCGGGGCCUCGCAUCGCUGUGGGCUUCCUCUGACGACCCAGCAGAGGCCUUUCCGCCUGGCGGUGCUCGGCGCCUCUGGCCUCACCGGCCAGUUCAUGACAGAGCAGGUGUCCCAGAGCGGACCUCCCACCUGCCGUGGGCCGCGCGGGCCGCUCCCCGGAGAAGCUGCGGAGAGUGCCGGAGAGGCUGCUGUGAAGCCGGGAAGACCAACACUGUCAUCUGAAAUUGGAAUAAUAAUUUCUGAUAUCACUAAUCCAGCCUCACUUGAUGAAAUGGCUACACCGGCAACAGUUGUCCUCAAUUCUGUAGGACCCAGGCCACAGCUUUGGCACCUGCAUCCCUGUGCAGCUCUGGAGAGAGAAGCCAGAAGCCAUCGGCAUGAUGCAGCUGGAGUCAGGACAGCAGGUACAUUGACUGUUAAGGAAAGUUUCCUGACCUUACAUUCAGGACCUGAGGUUAGUUUUGCAGUUGCCGUAAAUCUUCAUUUGUUAUACUGUUGUGUGUCAACAAGUAUAGUUCAGAACUUGAGGUGCACUUGAACUUCCCUAAGGAAACCACAUGAUAUGAGAUGCUGAGAAAAAUUAAAUUGAUGUAUCUCCAGUGUACAACUUUCAUUUGAAGAUUGAAUAAAGAGGACUUAGAUCUUGUUUCCAGUGUUGAAUCAUGGAAUUCUAAAGAGCCAGACACUUCUCCACAGCAUUUCCUCGCCUCACCAAUGACUUGGGCAGGAGGAGAUCAGGGCUCAGUUCAGGAUAUGUGGUGAUUCUCCUGGAGAUUUCACUGUUUUUUCCAUCAAGGCCCUCUUGAUGCACAAGCACUGGCUAUAAGACUUCAUAGUGCUGCUUGGCUCAUUAGACUCUGUUGCAGAGGGCAGCCUUGAUGAGCAGGAUAAAGCAACAGCUAAGCCAAAGACCCUGCCAGGUCCUUUGAAUUCUUUUUUCCGGAGUUUGUUUCUUGGUGGGAAGAGGAGGAGUUUAACAUGGAUGGAAGAGUGAACAAUGACUUCAGGUUUUCUCUUGUGGAUGACUGGGUGAGUAAUCAUGCCAUGGGUAAAACAGCAGAUCCUGGGAGUAGAAUUGGUUUUGUUGGGGAAUAUAAUUAAUUCAUUUGAGGUUGUGUUAGAUGUGAUUUACUUAUAGAACAGUCUGAAUGUUUAUUUGGAAAUUUAAUAUUCAGAAAUGAAUUAAGGACAAAAGACAUAGAUUUGUAAGUCACAUACAUAUGUGUAAUAAUUAAGUGAAGAUUCUUGAUGAAAUUAUCCAGCCCUCUUCCCUAAAAUGAGAUCUUUUAAAAAAGAGGGCUAAAGAUGGAGUCCUGAGAUGAGCAAUGUACCAUAAAAGAUGGAGAAGUAUCCAUCAGAGUGGUGGGGAGAGGAAGGCGUUGUAUGGGAGAAAGUUCCCAGGGAAAGGGCUGUGUCAGAUGUCUCACCGGGUGAAAAAAUUACAACAGUUGAAGAAAUGUAAAGGCAGGAUUUGGCCACUAGGAAAUUACUUUUUUGUUACAGCAGCUUUUACACAGGAUAUUGGAACACAUAUUGGAUGACAAAGUUGGAGGAUUGAAUUUCAGUGGAAGAAACACAGAAGAUGAGAUGCUUGGUGGCAUCAGGAGGCAAAGAGAGAGAGAAAGAGAGGCAGAGGAAAGAAAGAAUCCUUGCAUAAUUAUGUCAGUUUUAGAAAUUUAAGAGUAGUUUUAUCCAGUGCAGAGAUUGAUUACGGACGGUAGGAAGAGACAGUAACUUGUGGAGUGAGAUUUUACAAUGACCACAUCAGGACACAUCUCCGCCUGCUGACAGGGGUUACUGAGCCCGCUGUGAUUUCAUGCUCAUGGGCUGUGCCACGUAAUACCAAGGUUUAUAUUUCACCCUGUCUUUAUCACAUCGUACUGUCCCACAGCCUUGUUCACCAUUUCUGGUAGAUUAAGGGGUGACAUUAGUGUUUUAUAUUUUCGUGUAUUUGUGUGGCCAUGCUAGAGAUUACAUUUAUUUCAACAGGUGUUUCUUAUGGACAGAGCAGCAGUGACACUGAAGCUCUACAUCAGACGUAUUGUCAUGUAGCCCUUUCUUGGGAAGAUGCAAAUGAACAAGGAUCUGAGAGUGAUGCAGGGGGACAUACCGAGAGCUCGGUGAAAGAGCAUCCUCAAGAAGAUAAAGAAGAGGUGGUAUAUUUAUACAAUGGAAUACUACUCAGCCAUAAAAACCAACAACAUAACGCCAUUUGCAGCAACAUGGAUGCUCCUGGAGAAUGUCAUUCUAAGUGAAGUAAGCCAGAAAGAGAAAGAAAAAUACCAUAUGAGAUCGCUCAUAUGUGGAAUCUAAAAAACAAAAACAAAAACAAACAAACAAAAACAAAGCAUAAAUAAAGGACAGAAAUAGACUCACAGACAGAUAAUACAGACUUGUGGUUACCAGGUGGGUGGAGGGUGGGAAGGGAUAGACUGGGAUUUCAAAAUUGUAGAAUAGACUACACUGUAUAGCACAGGGAAAUAUACACAA